GGCACGAUGGCUGAGUGGUCUAUAGCGUAAGACUCGAAAUCUUAUCUCUUCGGAGGCGUCGGUUCAAAUCCGGCUCGUGUCG
Staphylotrichum longicolle is the source of this 82-nucleotide non-coding RNA. NCBI's taxonomy places the organism in Eukaryota, Fungi, Ascomycota, Sordariomycetes, Sordariales, Chaetomiaceae. The record is from the annotation of a GenBank genome assembly.